RNAcentral lists this ribosomal RNA (505 nucleotides) under uncultured bacterium. Its description in RNAcentral is "partial 16S ribosomal RNA". It matches the Rfam family "Bacterial small subunit ribosomal RNA", at positions 28 to 507 of the family's 1533-position model. The record is from RNAcentral.
GACGAACGCUGGCGGCGUGCCUAAUACAUGCAAGUAGAACGCACAGUUUAUACCGUAGCUUGCUACACCAUAGACUGUGAGUUGCGAACGGGUGAGUAACGCGUAGGUAACCUGCCUGGUAGCGGGGGAUAACUAUUGGAAACGAUAGCUAAUACCGCAUAAUAUUCAUUAUUGCAUGAUAAUUAAUUGAAAGGUGCAAUUGCACCACUACCAGAUGGACCUGCGUUGUAUUAGCUAGUAGGUGAGGUAACGGCUCACCUAGGCGACGAUACAUAGCCGACCUGAGAGGGGGAUCGGCCCCACCGGGACUGGGACCCGGCCCAGACUUCUACGGGAGGCAGCAGUAGGGAAUCUUCGGCAAUGGACGAAAGGCUGACCGAGCCACGCCGCGGGAGGGAAGAAGGGUUUCGGAUCGUAAAGCUCUGUUGUAAGAGAAGAACGGGUGUGAGAGUGGAAAGUUCACACUGUGACGGUAUCUGACCAGAAAGGGACGGCUAACUACGUG